UAGGGAAUCUUCCACAAUGGACGAAAGUCUGAUGGAGCAACGCCGCGUGAGUGAAGAAGGGUUUCGGCUCGUAAAACUCUGUUGUUAAAGAAGAACAUAUCUGGGAGUAACUGUUCAGGUAUUGACGGUAUUUAACCAGAAAGCCACGGCUAACUACGUGUCAG
Molecule: ribosomal RNA, 164 nt
Filed under: uncultured bacterium
Lineage: Bacteria
Description: partial 16S rRNA
Rfam family: Bacterial small subunit ribosomal RNA
Source: RNAcentral